Molecule: non-coding RNA, 28 nt
Filed under: Homo sapiens (human)
Lineage: Eukaryota; Metazoa; Chordata; Mammalia; Primates; Hominidae
Source: RNAcentral
UUUCUGUGUGGAAUUUGAAUAUCUGAAA